Molecule: transfer RNA, 73 nt
Filed under: Paramuricea clavata
Lineage: Eukaryota; Metazoa; Cnidaria; Anthozoa; Malacalcyonacea; Plexauridae
Rfam family: tRNA
About the family: Transfer RNA (tRNA) molecules are approximately 80 nucleotides in length. Their secondary structure includes four short double-helical elements and three loops (D, anti-codon, and T loops). Further hydrogen bonds mediate the characteristic L-shaped molecular structure. tRNAs have two regions of fundamental functional importance: the anti-codon, which is responsible for specific mRNA codon recognition, and the 3' end, to which the tRNAs corresponding amino acid is attached (by aminoacyl-tRNA synthetases). tRNAs cope with the degeneracy of the genetic code in two manners: having more than one tRNA (with a specific anti-codon) for a particular amino acid; and 'wobble' base-pairing, i.e. permitting non-standard base-pairing at the 3rd anti-codon position.
Source: Rfam by way of RNAcentral
GACCGUAUAGCUCAGUUGGUAGAGCGUCGAUCUAGUAAUUCGAAGGUCGCGGGUUCAAGACCCGCGGCAGACU